Molecule: unclassified non-coding RNA, 253 nt
Filed under: uncultured Gammaproteobacteria bacterium
Lineage: Bacteria; Pseudomonadati; Pseudomonadota; Gammaproteobacteria
Description: contains 16S-23S intergenic spacer region
Rfam family: Bacterial small subunit ribosomal RNA
Source: RNAcentral
UACGGAGGGUGCGAGCGUUAAUCGGAAUUACUGGGCGUAAAGCGCACGUAGGCGGUCUGGCAAGUCGGAUGUGAAAGCCCAGGGCUUAACCUUGGAAUUGCAUUCGAUACUGUCAGACUCGAGUUUGGUAGAGGAAGGCGGAAUUCCGGGUGUAGCGGUGAAAUGCGUAGAUAUCCGGAGGAACACCAGUGGCGAAGGCGGCCUUCUGGACUAGAACUGACGCUGAGGUGCGAAAGCGUGGGGAGCAAACAGG